Molecule: ribosomal RNA, 84 nt
Filed under: Gongylonema pulchrum
Lineage: Eukaryota; Metazoa; Nematoda; Chromadorea; Rhabditida; Gongylonematidae
Source: RNAcentral
GCUUACGGCCAUACCACCUUGAAAGCACGACAUCUCGUCCGAUCUGUCAAGUUAAGCAACGUUGGGCCUGGUUAGUACUUGGAU